This is a long non-coding RNA of Oncorhynchus keta (chum salmon), 3063 nucleotides long. RefSeq lists it as uncharacterized. NCBI's taxonomy places the organism in Eukaryota, Metazoa, Chordata, Actinopteri, Salmoniformes, Salmonidae. The record is from RefSeq and is a predicted model, not a curated record. The transcript is spliced from 3 exons.
UCAAUAGAACACAACACCACUCCAGGUUCUCCUACUGCCCAGUUUCAAUAGAACACAACAUGGCUCUAGGUUCUCCUACUGCCCAGUUUCAAUAGAACACAACACCACUCCAGGUUCUCCUACUGCCCAGUUUCAAUAGAACACAACAUGGCUCUAGGUUCUCCUACUGCCCAGUUUCAAUAGAACACAACACCACUCCAGGUUCUCCUACUGCCCAGUUUCAAUAGAACACAACAUGGCUCUAGGUUCUCCUACUGCCCAGUUUCAAUAGAACACAACACCACUCCAGGUUCUCCUACUGCCCAGUUUCAAUAGAACACAACAUGGCUCUAGGUUCUCCUACUGCCCAGUUUCAAUAGAACACAACACCACUCCAGGUUCUCCUACUGCCCAGUUUCAAUAGAACACAACACCGCUCUAGGUUCUCCUACUGCCCAGUUUCAAUAGAACACAACACCACUCCAGGUUCUCCUACUGCCCAGUUUCAAUAGAACACAACACCACUCCAGGUUCUCCUACUGCCCAGUUUCAAUAGAACACAACACCGCUCCAGGUUCUCCUACUGCCCAGUUUCAAUAGAACACAACACCACUCCAGGUUCUCCUACUGCCCAGUUUCAAUAGAACACAACACCACUCCAGGUUCUCCUACUGCCCAGUUUCAAUAGAACACAACACCACUCCAGGUUCUCCUACUGCCCAGUUUCAAUAGAACACAACACCACUCCAGGUUCUCCUACUGCCCAGUUUCAAUAGAACACAACACCACUCCAGGUUCUCCUACUGCCCAGUUUCAAUAGAACACAACACGGCUCCAGGUUCUCCUACUGCCCAGUUUCAAUAGAACACAACAUGGCUCCAGGUUCUCCUACUGCCCAGUUUCAAUAGAACACAACACCGCUCUAGGUUCUCCUACUGCCCAGUUUCAAUAGAACACAACAUCACUCCAGGUUCUCCUACUGCCCAGUUUCAAUAGAACACAACACCACUCCAGGUUCUCCUACUGCCCAGUUUCAAUAGAACACAACACCACUCCAGGAUCUCCUACUGCCCAGUUUCAAAAGAACACAACACGGCUCCAGGUUCUCCUACUGCCCAGUUUCAAUAGAACACAACACCACUCCAGGAUCUCCUACUGCCCAGUUUCAAUAGAACACAACACCACUCCAGGUUCUCCUACUGCCCAGUUUCAAUAGAACACAACACCACUCCAGGUUCUCCUACUGCCCAGUUUCAAUAGAACACAACACCGCUCCAGGUUCUCCUACUGCCCAGUUUCAAUAGAACACAACACCACUCCAGGUUCUCCUACUGCCCAGUUUCAAUAGAACACAACACGGCUCCAGGUUCUCCUACUGCCCAGUUUCAAUAGAACACAACACGGCUCCAGGUUCUCCUACUGCCCAGUUUCAAUAGAACACAACACCGCUCCAGGUUCUCCUACUGCCCAGGUUCAAUAGAACACAACACCGCUCCAGGUUCUCCUACUGCCCAGUUUCAAUAGAACACAACACGGCUCCAGGUUCUCCUACUGCCCAGUUUCAAUAGAACACAACACGGCUCCAGGUUCUCCUACUGCCCAGUUUCAAUAGAACACAACACCGCUCCAGGUUCUCCUACUGCCCAGUUUCAAUAGAACACAACACGGCUCCAGGUUCUCCUACUGCCCAGUUUCAAUAGAACACAACACGGCUCCAGGUUCUCCUACUGCCCAGUUUCAAUAGAACACAACACGGCUCCAGGUUCUCCUACUGCCCAGUUUCAAUAGAACACAACACCACUCCAGGUUCUCCUACUGCCCAGUUUCAAUAGAACACAACACCGCUCUAGGUUCUCCUACUGCCCAGUUUCAAUAGAACACAACACGGCUCCAGGUUCUCCUACUGCCCAGUUUCAAUAGAACACAACACCGCUCCAGGUUCUCCUACUGCCCAGUUUCAAUAGAACACAACACCACUCCAGGUUCUCCUACUGCCCAGUUUCAAUAGAACACAACACCACUCCAGGUUCUCCUACUGCCCAGUUUCAAUAGAACACAACACCACUCCAGGAUCUCCUACUGCCCAGUUUCAAUAGAACACAACACGGCUCCAGGUUCUCCUACUGCCCAGUUUCAAUAGAACACAACACCACUCCAGGAUCUCCUACUGCCCAGUUUCAAUAGAACACAACACCACUCCAGGUUCUCCUACUGCCCAGUUUCAAUAGAACACAACACCGCUCUAGGUUCUCCUACUGCCCAGUUUCAAUAGAACACAACACCACUCCAGGUUCUCCUACUGCCCAGUUUCAAUAGAACACAACACAGCUCUAGGUUCUCCUACUGCCCAGUUUCAAUAGAACACAACACCACUCCAGGUUCUCCUACUGCCCAGUUUCAAUAGAACAACACAGCUCUUGGUUCUCCUACUGCCCAGUUUCAAUAGAACAACACAGCUCUUGGUUCUCCUACUGCCCAGUUUCAAUAGAACACAACACCGCUCCAGGUUCUCCUACUGCCCAGUUUCAAUAGAACACAACACGGCUCCAGGUUCUCCUACUGCCCAGUUUCAAUAGAACACAACACCGCUCCAGGUUCUCCUACUGCCCAGGUUCAAUAGAACACAACACCGCUCCAGGUUCUCCUACUGCCCAGUUUCAAUAGAACACAACACGGCUCCAGGUUCUCCUACUGCCCAGUUUCAAUAGAACACAACACCGCUCCAGGUUCUCCUACUGCCCAGUUUCAAUAGAACACAACACCACUCCAGGUUCUCCUACUGCCCAGUUUCAAUAGAACACAACACGGCUCCAGGUUCUCCUACUGCCCAGUUUCAAUAGAACACAACACGGCUCCAGGUUCUCCUACUGCCCAGUUUCAAUAGAACACAACACCGCUCCAGGUUCUCCUACUGCCCAGUUUCAAUAGAACACAACACGGCUCCAGGUUCUCCUACUGCCCAGUUUCAAUAGAACACAACACGGCUCCAGGUUCUCCUACUGCCCAGUUUCAAUAGAACACAACACGGCUCCAGGUUCUCCUACUGCCCAGUUUCAAUAGAACACAACACCACUCCAGGUUCUC